Molecule: unclassified non-coding RNA, 369 nt
Filed under: uncultured fungus
Lineage: Eukaryota; Fungi
Description: partial contains small subunit ribosomal RNA, internal transcribed spacer 1, and 5.8S ribosomal RNA
Rfam family: Eukaryotic small subunit ribosomal RNA (bases 1-126)
Source: RNAcentral
UCAAACUUGGUCAUUUAGAGGAAGUAAAAGUCGUAACAAGGUUUCCGUAGGGUAUGUCCUCUCCCCGUUCUACACGUCGUGAUUCAAUGCUAAUGUGAUUAUAGUGAACCUGCGGAAGGAUCAUUAAUGAGUAAGGGUCUCGACUUAUACAGAGCCCGACCUCCAACCCUUUGUCUACCUUACCAAUGUUGCUUCGGCGAGCCCGCUUCGAAAGAGGCCGCCGGAGGGUCGUUAAACACUCUCUGGUCAGUGCUCGCCGGUGGCCCUAAUCAAAACUCUUGUUAAGAACUUGUCUAAGUAUAAACAAACAAAUAAGUAAAAACUUUCAACAACGGAUCUCUUGGUUCUGGCAUCGAUGAAGAACGCAGC